Long non-coding RNA from Patiria miniata (bat star), 928 nucleotides. RefSeq lists it as uncharacterized. The record is from RefSeq and is a predicted model, not a curated record. Lineage: Eukaryota; Metazoa; Echinodermata; Asteroidea; Valvatida; Asterinidae. The transcript is spliced from 3 exons.
GGAGGACCGUCGGAUGAACUGAUGACCUGCUUGCUGGGCUUCCCAUUACUGAUUCGUGAGACAUGAGGACCACUGACUGGUGAGAGAAUUGCCCUAUGAUGGAUGAGCCUGCCUCAAGCUACCAUAAGCUGGGAGGACCGACGGUUGACUGACACUGCGUGCUUGGUUGGCCAUUACCGAUUCUUGAGAAGAUGAGGACCGCCAAGCUUGGAUGAGACUGGAAAAUUACGAAGCUGCUCUAUCUGGACAAGGAUGCCCUCAUCAGACACUUUCCAAUUUGCGGAAUAUUGGAUCAAACAGCAGACUGCAUAUUAUUUUGCAAUAUUAUUAAACAUAAAAACGACGAAAAUACGAAUUCUUACGCCAAAGUUACCGCUGCAAUUGGAAGAAUUAAUAGCUUAAAUCACUGUUACUUGUUAACUUUACUGAGAUACCUUUACCUGAAAUAUUUGACAACGAAUAUGACGAAAAUUGAAGGAAAAAAGUCAAAUGUGUGUAAAAUACAUUGCAGUGAAAAUCAAAUCAUGAGCGGAUUUUCUUCUCACAGAAAUGCUUCUCCGCUUCCAACAAGUGGCUGAGAAAUUAUGAAAUUUACGCCGAAAAUAACUGAAAUCAGUGUUGUUUUUACCUUUACUGCGAUACCUACUUGAUAUAUUUGACUAAACGCGUGUGACGAAACGUGGAAACAAAAAUCAAAUCGGUCAAAUUAAAUUACAACGAAAAUCACAUAGUACGUGGAGUUUCUUCUCGAAGCACGGCACUCUGUUUCCACAGGUAGCUACGGGAAAAUUACGAAAAUUACACCGAAAAUCAACGCGGCAUAUAAGUGAAGUGACGAAACAUAGUUUACACGGCUAAAAAAUCACAGCGUUAGUGAGAGAAAUAAUACUUGAUAUCAGUGUUAUUUUUCUUACCUACAAAGUAAAAA